Molecule: ribosomal RNA, 492 nt
Filed under: uncultured bacterium
Lineage: Bacteria
Description: partial 16S ribosomal RNA
Rfam family: Bacterial small subunit ribosomal RNA
Source: RNAcentral
AGUGAACGCUGGCGGUAGGCCUAACACAUGCAAGUCGAACGGCAGCACAGUAAGAGCUUGCUCUUACGGGUGGCGAGUGGCGGACGGGUGAGGAAUACAUCGGAAUCUACUUUUUCGUGGGGGAUAACGUAGGGAAACUUACGCUAAUACCGCAUACUACCUACGGGUGAAAGCAGGGGAUCUUCGGACCUUGCGCGAUUGAAUGAGCCGAUGUCGGAUUAGCUAGUUGGCGGGGUAAAGGCCCACCAAGGCGACGAUCCGUAGCUGGUCUGAGAGGAUAAUCAGCCACACUGGAACUGAGACACGGUCCAGACUCCUACGGGAGGCAGCAGUGGGGAAUAUUGGACAAAGGGCGCAAGCCUGAUCCAGCCAUACCGCGUGGGUGAAGAAGGCCUUCGGGUUGUAAAGCCCUUUUGUUGGGAAAGAAAAGCAGCAGGUUAAUACCCCGCUGUUCUGACGGUACCCAAAGAAUAAGCACCGGCUAACUUCGUG